CGUGUAGGCUGCUCGGAAAGUCGGGUGUGAAAGCCCUGGGCUCAACCUAGGAAGUGCACUCGAAACUUCCGAGCUGGAGUGCUGGAGAGGAAGGCGGAAUUCUCGGUGUAGAGGUGAAAUUCGUAGAUAUCGAGAGGAACACCGGUGGCGAAGGCGGCCUUCUGGACAGUUACUGACGCUGAGACGCGAAAGCGUGGGGAGCAAACA
Molecule: ribosomal RNA, 207 nt
Filed under: uncultured delta proteobacterium
Lineage: Bacteria; Deltaproteobacteria
Description: partial 16S ribosomal RNA
Rfam family: Bacterial small subunit ribosomal RNA
Source: RNAcentral